UGGGGAAUAUUGGGCAAUGGGCGCAAGCCUGACCCAGCAAUGCCGCGUGAAGGAAGAAGGCCCUCGGGUUGUAAACUUCUUUUAUCAGGGACGAAGGAUGUGACGGUACCUGAUGAAUAAGCUCCGGCUAACUACGUGCCAGCAGCCGCGGUAAUACGUAGGGAGCAAGCGUUAUCCGGAUUUACUGGGUGUAAAGGGCGCGUAGGCGGGAUGGCAAGUCAGAUGUGAAAUCCAGGGGCUCAACCCCUGAACUGCAUUUGAAACUGUCGUUCUUGAGUACUGGAGAGGUUGACGGAAUUCCCAUGAUGUAGCGGUGAAAUGCGUAGAUAUUAGGAGGAACACCAGUGGCGAAGGCGGUCAACUGGACAGCAACUGACGCUGAGGCGCGAAAGCGUGGGGAGCAAACAGGAUUAGAUACCC
Molecule: ribosomal RNA, 420 nt
Filed under: uncultured bacterium
Lineage: Bacteria
Description: bacterial SSU rRNA
Rfam family: Bacterial small subunit ribosomal RNA
Source: RNAcentral